This 1662-nucleotide long non-coding RNA is filed under the name Homo sapiens (human). RNAcentral's name for it is "HSALNT0284682". The record is from RNAcentral. Lineage: Eukaryota; Metazoa; Chordata; Mammalia; Primates; Hominidae.
CUCGUCGGGGAGGCUCAGGCUGCGCAGGCGCCCACCGCGGGGAGGCGGGGCGGGGAGACUGAGGCAUGGCGGGAUGCAGGUCCCAAGCCCUUCCCCGCGGGGAGGCAGCUAAGGCCCGGCAAGAAAUCGAGCACAGCAGCUGCUAGCGCAGGUGCUAAGCCCCUCACUGCCCGGGGCUUGCGGGCCGGCCUGCUGCUCCGAGUGCUGGGCCAGCCGAGCCCACGCCCCCCCGGAACUGGCGCUGGCCCGCAAGCGCCGCGCGCAGCCCCAGUUUCCGCCCGCGCCUCUCCCUCCACGCCUCCUCGCAAGCUGAGGGAGUCGGCUCCGGCCUUGGCCAGCCCAGAAAGGGGCUCCCACAGUGCAACGGUGGGCUGAAGGGCCAGAGUGGGCGCCAAGGGCGAGGAGGCGCCGAGAGCGAGUGGGGGCUGCCAGCACGGUGUCACCUCUCACCAGUAGUUGUGAUUUUUGCUGUCACCCCCAUGGAUUAUGAAUUCACUUUGUCUGGGUAACAGUGGAAACCCUCGGAAGUUGUUUCCACUGUUUCAUCUAAAAGAAGUCGCCAAAACGAAGUUUUCUCAGUGCCAAAGCAUGGACUCAGCGCAUCAAUUGCCUUCUUGCCCCCAUGGUUUCUUCUGGGAAAACCCACCGUUAAUCUUAUUGAGGAUCUCUCUGACUGGCAAUGUUUGGGAUUGCAGAGGCUCCAGUAGCCUGGGAAGAGAGCAGUUUAAGAAUUUUACCUAAAGUCACCGUGCAAGGGGGAUGAGCUCCAGGGACUGUCAUUUUUCACAGGUCACCCUAAAGAAAUAGAACCAGAAGAUUGCAGAAUUGCGGCCUUCGAUUCUCCUCUCUAAGUAGACUGAGUACACUUGAAGACAACAAUAUGGGCAUUCAUUAGAUGGAAUUUGGAAGACAAAGCUGAGGUUAAAAAUUACAUUUCUUUUGACUAAACUUAGGCAGGACAUUUAGUCUAGCGUUCACCACAGGUCUCAUUGGUCCCUACUACCUGUACCAGACUUUCCACAGGCACACUAUAUGCGUGGCCAUUAAGGUUUUUAGUUUGCAUUCCCAGGAAUAAAUUGAUUUCUCACUUUGAUAACAUGCUGUGCUACUUCUGGCUUUUACAUUAAAACCCUUAGAGGAUGAUAAGUAUGGUUACAGAACACAUUGUCUGAGUUUCAGAUCUGGCUUAUUCACUUAAUAAAUGCUAUAGUUUGGAUAUUCAUCCACCCCCCGAUAUCUCGCAUUGAAAUUUAAUCCUCAUUGAUGGAAAUGAGGCCUAAUUGGAGCUGUUUGGGUCAUGUGGGUGGAUUCCUCAUGAAUGGCUUGACAUCGUCCUCAAAGUAAUGAGCGAGUUCUUGCUCUGUUAGUUCCCAUGAGAGCUGGUUGUUAAGAAGAGCCUGGCACCUCCACUCUCUUUCUCUUGCUUCCUAUCUCACCGUGUGAUCUCUGCACAGUUGACCCCACUUUGUCUUCUGCCAUGAGUAGAAGCAGCCUGAGUCCCUCAACAGAAGCCAAGCAGAUGCUGGCACCAUGCUUCUUGUACAGCCUACACAACAUGAGCCAAAUAAAGCUAUUUUCUUUAUAAAUUACCCAGCCUCAGGUAAUCCUUGAAAGCAAUACUAAAUGGACUAAAACAGUAACUAUGUGACUACUUUAUACCAG